RNAcentral lists this long non-coding RNA (982 nucleotides) under Mytilus galloprovincialis (Mediterranean mussel). Lineage: Eukaryota; Metazoa; Mollusca; Bivalvia; Mytilida; Mytilidae. The record is from RNAcentral.
AAUGGAACACCAUAUAAAAUCGACUUGGGAUGAGGGAUAAAUCACCAUAAACCCAUAAACUUGUCGUUGUAAUGCGUGUGGGCCAUUUCUGCAUUUAAUGAGUCGUCCAAUAUAUAAAUACUUUAUUAUAUAAUCUGCAAGUAUACAAAUUGUAACCCAAGUUUACAAUUAUGUUCCAAUAAAUAUGAACAAUAUCUAUACUGAAAUAUUUGCAUGCAACGGAGCUUUAUUCUGACCUUAACUUAUAUACCAAAAUGCGGCUUUCAAGCCAUACUGAAUUCUAUAUAUGAAAUACUAAAAUAACUUUACUUUAAUUGAAACAUUUUAAACAUUGCUAAAAGAAUAAAUAAAUUUACAAGUACCUGCAGCGUAGACAUUAGUCUGCCGCCUCCCCGAUUGUAAUAAUGACCAGUGACUAACUUUAAAAGUGAAAUUGUAUUAAUAUAUAUAUGGUUAGUAUUGCCGCGCUUUGAGCUCAUGCAAAACUCAUGCUAUUUAAAUAUAAAUAUAUAUCAUUUAAAUAAUAAGAAUCGCUUUAACUUUCUAUUGUACUAAUUUAAAUAUUGAGUACGUAAAGCAAAGCAUAGCGUAUAAAGCUAUAGUCUAUUUCAAAAUAUGCAGCGCAAAACUAUUGUCGUCAAUCGUCAAGAAACAUGAUGAUAUGAAAUAUGAAUAUGAUAUGAAUGGAAAACAUAUAACACGGAAAACACAAUUAAUAUGAAAUGCAUAAUAAUGAACCAAAAUGGAUAAAUAUAUCCGGUGACAUAGUCAUAUUUCAGAGCUUCAAAGAACUUUAUGUGUUAUUAUCUGGUGACAUUUACACGCAUUUAUCAUUGGCGCAGAUUUAAAUUUGACAUUUAAAAAAAUAUUAGACGAGUUUAUACCUUUUCAAAUUUACCUCGUGUAAUUUACCCCCCGCGAAGGCAAUCCUUCUUGUUCUUUAAAAAGUAGUUAAAGCCCCACCUGUUAUAAUCCAAACCUU